UGUUGUGAAAAGCACACUUGGGUGCAUUUACUGGAAGCUGCAGAUAGUUCGGUCCAAGGCGGUGCCUCUGAGUAUCAGAAUAGGCAAAGAUUCUACCUUGGAGCAUUUUAUCAUUUGUGUAAUAUAUACCAGGUACAACAAGAGCUGGGUUGAAGGCAAGCAUCUCAUUCUCAGCAAAGAAAUUAUCUAUGUUCUUGUUUAAUACCAACCGGCCCACUGGCUGCAAGGGCAAGAUAUCCUCAGGCCAAGUCUUGGUAACAUCAAGUGGAUCAAAGUCAAACUUGUCUUCAUGUUCAGGAUCCAUCGUCUGGAUGAAAAGCUUCCACUCAGGAUAGUUUCCAGCCUUGAUCGAGUCAUAGAGAUCCUGAGUAGCAUGACUGUGGUUAGUUCCUCCAACUCUUAUGGCUUCAUCCUCCAACAAACACUUGACUCCACACGUGGGUUUCCAGUGGAACUUCACAUAAUUUGCCUUCCCAGCCUUGUUGAUUAG
Molecule: long non-coding RNA, 490 nt
Filed under: Vitis vinifera (wine grape)
Lineage: Eukaryota; Viridiplantae; Streptophyta; Magnoliopsida; Vitales; Vitaceae
Description: long non-coding RNA (VVIN_LNC007891)
Source: RNAcentral